RNAcentral lists this ribosomal RNA (438 nucleotides) under uncultured bacterium. RNAcentral describes it as "partial 16S ribosomal RNA". It matches the Rfam family "Bacterial small subunit ribosomal RNA", at positions 339 to 795 of the family's 1533-position model. The record is from RNAcentral.
CUACGGGACGCAGCAGUGGGAAUAUUGCACAAUGGAGGAAACUCUGAUGCAGCAACGCCGCGUGGAGGAUGACACUUUUCGGAGCGUAAACUCCUUUUAUAUAGGAAGAAGAUGACGGUACUAUAUGAAUAAGCGCCGGCUAACUCCGUGCCAGCAGCCGCGGUAAUACGGAGGGCGCAAGCGUUACUCGGAAUCACUGGGCGUAAAGAGCGUGUAGGCGGAUUAAAAAGUCAGAAGUGAAAUCCUAUAGCUUAACUAUAGAACUGCUUCUGAAACUCUUAAUCUAGAAUAUGGGAGAGGUAGAUGGAAUUUCUGGUGUAGGGGUAAAAUCCGUAGAGAUCAGAAGGAAUACCGAUUGCGAAGGCGAUCUACUAGAACAUUAUUGACGCUGAGACGCGAAAGCGUGGGGAGCAAACAGGAUUAGAUACCCCAGUAGUC